This 1345-nucleotide ribosomal RNA is filed under the name metagenome. Its description in RNAcentral is "bacterial LSU rRNA". It matches the Rfam family "Bacterial large subunit ribosomal RNA", at positions 1569 to 2925 of the family's 2925-position model. The record is from RNAcentral.
ACGAGCUGCUACGGCAGCGAAGUGGGUGAUGUCAAGCUUCCAAGAAAAGCCCUAUACCCGUUAAGGCAUGAUGGCCUGUACCCGAAACCGACACAGGUGGGGUGGUAGAGAAUACCGAGGGGCGCGAGAUAACUCUCUCUAAGGAACUCGGCAAAAUGGCCCCGUAACUUCGGGAGAAGGGGUGCCACCGCAAGGUGGUCGCAGUGAAGAGGCCCAGGCGACUGUUUACCAAAAACACAGGUCUCCGCUAAGUCGCAAGACGAUGUAUGGGGGCUGACGCCUGCCCAGUGCCGGAAGGUUAAGGAAGCUGGUCAGCGAAAGCGAAGCUAGCGACUGAAGCCCCGGUGAACGGCGGCCGUAACAAUAACGGUCCUAAGGUAGCGAAAUUCCUUGUCGGGUAAGUUCCGACCCGCACGAAAGGCGUAACGAUCUGGGCGCUGUCUCGGAGAGAGGCUCGGCGAAAUAGAAUUGUCUGUGAAGAUGCGGACUACGUGCACCCGGACAGAAAGACCCUAUGAAGCUUUACUGUAGCUUGGUAUUGUGCUCGGGCUCGGAAUGCGCAGGAUAGGUGGGAGGCUAUGAACCAUUGCUUGUGGGUGAUGGUGAGCCACUGGUGAGAUACCACUCUUUCCGAGCUAGAGUUCUAACAGCCACCCGUUAUCCGGGGGCUGGACAGUAUCAGGUGGGCAGUUUGACUGGGGCGGUCGCCUCCUAAAAGGUAACGGAGGCGCGCAAAGGUUUGCUCAGGCUGGUUGGAAAUCAGCCGACGAGUGUAAAAGCAGAAGCAAGCUUGACUGUGAGACCUACAAGUCGAACAGGGAGGAAACUCGGCUUUAGUGAUCCGACGGUUCUGCGUGGAAGGGCCGUCGCUCAACGGAUAAAAGUUACUCUAGGAUAACAGGCUGAUCUCCCCCAAGAGUUCACAUCGACGGGGAGGUUUGGCACCUCGAUGUCGGCUCAUCGCAACCUGGGGCUGAAGUCGGUCCCAAGGGUUGGGCUGUUCGCCCAUUAAAGCGGUACGCGAGCUGGGUUCAGAACGUCGUGAGACAGUUCGGUCCAUAUCCGGUGCAUGCGCAGGAAUAUUGAGAGGAUUUCUCCCUAGUACGAGAGGACCGGGAGGAACGCACCUCUGGUGUACCAGUUAUCGUGCCAACGGUAAACGCUGGGUAGCCAUGUGCGGAGAGGAUAACCGCUGAAAGCAUCUAAGUGGGAAGCCCACCUCAAGAUGAGUAUUCCCAUGGGGUAACCCAGUAAGGUCACGGGAAGAACACCCGUUGAUAGGCUCUACGUGGAAGCGCAGUAAUGUGUGAAGCGGAGGAGUACUAAUAGACCGAGGGCUUGACCU